CGAAGGGGCUAGCGUUGCUCGGAAUUACUGGGCGUAAAGGGCGCGUAGGCGGCUUGGCCAGUCAGGCGUGAAAUUCCUGGGCUUAACCUGGGGACUGCGCUUGAUACUGCUGAGCUUGAGGCCGAGAGAGGGUGGUGGAAUUCCCAGUGUAGAGGUGAAAUUCGUAGAUAUUGGGAAGAACACCGGUGGCGAAGGCGACCACCUGGCUCGGUACUGACGCUGAGGCGCGACAGCGUGGGAGCAAACAGGAUU
Molecule: ribosomal RNA, 252 nt
Filed under: uncultured bacterium
Lineage: Bacteria
Description: partial 16S ribosomal RNA
Rfam family: Bacterial small subunit ribosomal RNA
Source: RNAcentral